Neofelis nebulosa (Clouded leopard) is the source of this 793-nucleotide long non-coding RNA. RefSeq lists it as uncharacterized. The transcript has 2 exons. Lineage: Eukaryota; Metazoa; Chordata; Mammalia; Carnivora; Felidae. The record is from RefSeq and is a predicted model, not a curated record.
UUGACUGACAACUUCCGCAGGGUCCCGCCAGCCUCUCGGAGGUUCGGGAGGGAGUAGGGGGUGGGAAAACAUGCCAGCUCCCUCAGCCAAUCGCAGGGCUAAGCGGCAGGAACGGAGUGAGGCGUGGCCUCCCUCCUCUCUCGUUAAGCUGAGAGGUUAGGCAGAGAAAUGAGGCGUGGUUGUGUGACGGACUUCUGCUACAACCAAUCAUAAGUGAAGACGGCAAGCCGUGCGCCGCUUACGUCACAACAGCGCGAUGAAUUCUUGUGGUGGAGGAGAGGUGCCCCGCCACCAGCGAGGGACUUUGCGCGCCUGCGCGACAAGCCUAGGCUCUACUUGCUCUCCUGACGGCCUAUCAGAAGACCAGAAAACUAGAGUGGGUAGUUUAGAGAGCAAUGUGAUCAAGAGUGGUGAAACUGUAUACAAUUCUCCCAGUCAGGGAGGUUGAAACGUAAGCAGCAGCUUUGAAAAGCCAUUGAAGCUCCAGACCAUGUUGAAUCUACCUUCACAAAUGGCCAGACCAGGCCUUCUCAAAAUUUGCACAACCGACCAUGUAGUUCAGUGCUCUCGACUUCACUACCAGAUCAGCCUUUAAAAACACUGUCUAUAGGGGCACCUGGGUGGCUUAGUCUGUUAAGCAUCGACUUUUGAUUUUGGCUCAGGUCAUGAUCUCACAGUGGUGAGAUGGAGCCCUGUAUGCCUCUCUGCAAUGAGUGUGGAACCUGCUUGGGAUUCUCUCUCUCCCUUUCUCUCUGCCCCUUCCCCCACAAAAUAAAUAAAAAUUUUAGAGGCA